UGGCACGCCCGAAGUCGUUACUCCAACCCUUGUGGAGGAGGAUGCCGAAGGUGGGGCUGAUGACUGGGGUGAAGUCGUAACAAGGUAGCCGUACCGGAAGGUGCGGCUGGAUCACCUCCUAACAGGGAGACAACAACUGAUCGUGAUGUCUGAGUUUUUUAUUCUUAGGCCAUGAUCCUGUCAUCUCGAAGGUCGAUCGGUACCUCAACUUGAGGGAAGAGAAGGGCUGAGCAAUCAGUCUGGAGACUUACCCAUCAAUUUCAGUUCCUAAACUUUGUCUAGGUCACCCCACAGAGGGUAAAGCCGAGAAUGUGUGCAGCAGUGUACAUGUUGAAUCUGGCCAGCCGAAAGGCGAGCUGGAAGCGGCAUCAACUCCUGGGCCAUUAGCUCAGGUGGUUAG
Molecule: unclassified non-coding RNA, 400 nt
Filed under: uncultured cyanobacterium
Lineage: Bacteria; Bacillati; Cyanobacteriota
Description: partial contains 16S ribosomal RNA and 16S-23S ribosomal RNA intergenic spacer
Rfam family: Bacterial small subunit ribosomal RNA (bases 1-122)
Source: RNAcentral